Molecule: unclassified non-coding RNA, 241 nt
Filed under: Hevea brasiliensis (rubber tree)
Lineage: Eukaryota; Viridiplantae; Streptophyta; Magnoliopsida; Malpighiales; Euphorbiaceae
Source: RNAcentral
AGAAAUAAACUAUGAGUCUGUUUUGUGUACCUGUUACAGUUCAUGGUUUAGAAUUAAACCCCCAAAAGUCAUUAUUUUUCAUGAUCAUUAGGUUGAAAACUGGAAGGCUAAAGAAUUCUAUGUUUCCUACUUGGUAGAUUUACAUCUUUAUCUGCUAUAUGCUUGUUGCUAAAGCAUGAGGUGUGUUCAAUUUUGAUGCACCCCCAAGGCAAAGUUAUUGUUUAUGACUUUUAAACAUAGU